Molecule: ribosomal RNA, 253 nt
Filed under: uncultured prokaryote
Description: partial 16S ribosomal RNA
Rfam family: Bacterial small subunit ribosomal RNA
Source: RNAcentral
GACGAAGGGGGCUAGCGUUGUUCGGAAUUACUGGGCGUAAAGCGAGUGUAGGCGGUUGCCCAAGUCAGACGUGAAAUCCCUCGGCUUAACCGGGGAACUGCGUCUGAUACUGGAUGGCUUGAGGUUGGGAGAGGGAUGCGGAAUUCCAGGUGUAGCGGUGAAAUGCGUAGAUAUCUGGAGGAACACCGGUGGCGAAGGCGGCAUCCUGGACCAAUUCUGACGCUGAGGAGCGAAAGCCAGGGGAGCAAACGGG